UGCCCACUUAGCUUUUUAAGCUCAGAUAGACUGACCCUAUGCGUCGAACUAAGGAGGCAGAGCCUCUGGUGAUAAGGUUCAUGUACAAGAAGAAGGAGGAAGAACUCUGCAGGUGAAGGGCUCUGGACACAGCCCGGGACAGGAUCAUAUGAGGUACUUCGCCAAAGCCGGUAAGUGUUGUAUGCUGGUCUCAGAGACCUUAGUUCCUUGAAAGACCUGUUUUCAUUUUAUAGAAGAGACUCCAAACCCAGGAAUUAAGGAACUGACUGGCUGUUUGGGAAGCAUUCAGAAAAUGUGACAAGAGGUGUCAUACGCAGGCUAGAAGCAGAGAUCCAAGACAGGAAAAUACUUUGGCCUGGGUUUUCACUUUCCUUCUUGCUUCUGAAAUAAGACUGGGAGAACAGCUGCAUGUUUGCAGCAGAUAGGGAGCUGCACCGCCCUGCCCAUCUAGGACUCCCUCCCUAAAUUCUGUGAACAACACCUCGAGCCCCAGACUGCCUCGGCCUUGGAUUCUUGUCUCUCUCAUCAUUCAUACUUGAAGUUAGGGGCUCCUGGUUGCUGUGCAAAAAUAAGUGUAUUCACCUGGGCAACCGAGCCUGUGCCAUGAUUCUGCCCCCUGCCAGGAGACUCAGAGCUGAGAUUUGAGCAGAAGAUGGGAAGUGAUGAGCUCAACAGAGGGAGGAAAUUCUGUCUUCUCAGCUUCCUUUAGAUCCUCCAGAAAAGAGCCUUCUGGCUCCUCGGAAUUAAGACUGGUAGAGGAGGUCACCCAACUGGAUCAGAGAUUGGGAGAUAAAAGUACUGAAGUCAAAUGAGACAUCUGUGAAGUACUUUGAAAAAAUAUAGUCCUCCUGUGUGCACUCAGAGCAGCUACUUCAAUGACUGUAUCACUGGUACAGGCCAUAGACAUCAGCUGGAGCUGAAUGUGAUGCUCACCGCCCGCCCUGCAUUCAUCCUGAUCCCCGAGCCAGACCUGAGCCUGCACCCUGCCCCACAGAGAGGUGAUCUGCUGGAUCUUGAACUUCCAGCUUAGGUGGUUGCAUAAGCCCUGCGUUCCUGCCCCAACUCACGCUGCCCUCGGACCCCGGCCCGGCCGGCUGCACUCAGCGCCCGCCGCUCGCCGGGCCAACGCCCAGGAAACCCUGUGCCUUGGCCGCUGCUCCGGGAGGGCCGAUCGCCCACCUGCCCCGGCCCACCUGAGGACGGGGGAGUCUUCAUGCGGCCCGGACACGGCUCGCCCCGCCGCCACCCCCGAGCUCCGCGCGCUGAGCCCCAGCCCCAGCUGGGCACGCAACUUUGGAAGUCCGGCGGCGCUCCGGGAGAGGCGGCAGAGUCCGCACCCCGGCCCCAGCCCGGGUCCGGCCGGCACCGCCGCGUCUGGGGGAAAGCGAAGGAGUCGGUAAUCGCUGUUUCGGGGAUGUAAGAAGACAGACCUAGGACCCCAGGCCCGCAUCAGCGCCCCUCGGCUGCCUCCCGGGGUGGGGGCGGGCCCCGCACACGGUAAGACCUCUUGCUUUCGCUCAGGCUCGAGAGUCAAGAUAGAGAUAGAUUUUAAAUUUUCUGUCAUCUCUCCAAGUGAUCAGGCCACCGAUGAUUUCUGUUCUCCCUUCUUGAAGAAUAACUCUCCCUUUCCCCAUCGGCUCGACCUACUCUCUCCCGCCGCUUAGAAAUAAAACUUGUGCUGAGCUGGGCAGGAGAAGGCGCCCACGACGAGCGCCACAAGCGCAGGCCGGGCGCCGUUCGCGGGAGCCGGGCCCAUGGGCUGCUAGCGCCCCCCAUCCCCCGGCAGCUCGGGCCGGCGUCCCUGCGGCCCCCUCCCCAUGUGAGGCGCGGCAGGGCGAGCGGGGCGCGGGAGGAAGAGGAGGACCCACGGGCGCCGGGCCGGAAGGCAGCUGGCAGCAGGCCCAG
Molecule: long non-coding RNA, 1905 nt
Filed under: Zalophus californianus (California sea lion)
Lineage: Eukaryota; Metazoa; Chordata; Mammalia; Carnivora; Otariidae
Description: lncRNA (ENSZCAG00015018476.1)
Source: RNAcentral